ACUUUAAGGCUAUUAUCAGUUAACUAAGCAGAUAACCAUGAAAAAAGCAUGUCUUAAAGAAUAUGAGGAUUAGGAAGAGGAGGAGGAGGAAUGGUGGAAGUGUGGAUCUCCUCCCCUACCGCCACUAUUCCUCAACUACUUUCCCCAACACUUGGGAUAUAAAAGGGGGGCUAGAAAGAUAAGUUCUUUACUCACUAAAAAUACACAAAGGACAUACAUCUUUCAAACGGUUUCAUAUUUGGGUUCGGUUUCAUU
RNAcentral lists this long non-coding RNA (255 nucleotides) under Trifolium pratense (red clover). RNAcentral's name for it is "long non-coding RNA (TPRA_LNC006497)". Lineage: Eukaryota; Viridiplantae; Streptophyta; Magnoliopsida; Fabales; Fabaceae. The record is from RNAcentral.